GUGACAUCGAUGUUGAAACACUGGUUCCGUACGAUCAUCGAAGUUUAAGCAACGUCGAGCCUAGUCAGUACCUAGAUGGGUGACCGCUUGGGAAUACCAGGUACUGUAA
Molecule: non-coding RNA, 109 nt
Organism: Acanthosepion pharaonis
Lineage: Eukaryota; Metazoa; Mollusca; Cephalopoda; Sepiida; Sepiidae
Source: the annotation of a GenBank genome assembly